GUCCUAGCUGUAAACGAUGGAUACUAGAUGUUGUGUAUUUUUAAAUAUACGGUGUCGUAGCUAACGCGUUAAGUAUCCCGCCUGGGAAGUAUGCUCGCAAGAGUGAAAACUAAAAGGAAUUGACGGGGGCCCGCACAAGCGGUGGAGCAUGUGGUUUAAUUCGAUGCAACACGAAGAACCUUACCAGGACUUGACAUGAAGAGAAGUUUUUUGAAAGAAGAAUGUGCUACGGCCUCUUACACAGGUGGUGCAUGGCUGUCGU
This 262-nucleotide ribosomal RNA is filed under the name uncultured bacterium. RNAcentral's name for it is "partial 16S ribosomal RNA". It matches the Rfam family "Bacterial small subunit ribosomal RNA", at positions 793 to 1055 of the family's 1533-position model. The record is from RNAcentral.